AUACGGAGGAUGCGAGCGUUAUCCGGAUUUAUUGGGUUUAAAGGGAGCGUAGGUGGGAUAUUAAGUCAGCUGUGAAAGUUUGGGGCUCAACCUUAAAAUUGCAGUUGAUACUGGUCGUCUUGAGUGCAGUAGAGGUAGGCGGAAUUCGUGGUGUAGCGGUGAAAUGCUUAGAUAUCACGAAGAACUCCGAUUGCGAAGGCAGCUUACUGGACUGUAACUGACGCUGAUGCUCGAAAGUGUGGGUAUCAAACAGGAUUAGAUACCCUGGUAGUCCACACAGUAAACGAUGAAUACUCGCUGUUUGCGAUAUACGGCAAGCGGCCAAGCGAAAGCAUUAAGUAUUCCACCUGGGGAGUACGCCGGCAACGGUGAAACUCAAAUGAAUUGACGGGG
RNAcentral lists this ribosomal RNA (393 nucleotides) under uncultured bacterium. RNAcentral's name for it is "partial 16S ribosomal RNA". It matches the Rfam family "Bacterial small subunit ribosomal RNA", at positions 523 to 918 of the family's 1533-position model. The record is from RNAcentral.